GACGAACGCUGGCGGCGCGCUUAACACAUGCAAGUCGAGCGGUAAGGCUCCUUCGGGCGUACACGAGCGGCGAACGGGUGAGGAACACGUGAGUAAUCUGCCCUUCACUUCGGGAUAACCACCGGAAACGGUGGCGAAUACCGAAUACGACCAGUCGUCGCAGGAGGAGCUGGUGGAAAGUCUUUGCGGUGAAGGAUGUGCUCGCGGCCUAUCAGCGUGUUGGGGGGGUAAUGGCCUACCAAGGCUUCGACGGGUAGCCGGCCUGAGAGGGUGACCGGCCACACUGGGACUGCGACCCGGCCCAGACUCCUACGGGCGGCAGCAGUGGGGAAUAUUGGACAGUGGGCGAAAGCCUGAUCCAGCAACGCCGCGUGAGGGAUGACGGCCUUCGGGUUGUACACCUCUUUCAGUACCGACGAAGCGCCCUGUCGGGUGGUGACGGUAGGUACAGAAGAAGGCCCGGCCAACUACGUG
This 474-nucleotide ribosomal RNA is filed under the name uncultured bacterium. RNAcentral's name for it is "partial 16S ribosomal RNA". It matches the Rfam family "Bacterial small subunit ribosomal RNA", at positions 28 to 507 of the family's 1533-position model. The record is from RNAcentral.